Non-coding RNA from Podarcis lilfordi (Lilford's wall lizard), 73 nucleotides. NCBI's taxonomy places the organism in Eukaryota, Metazoa, Chordata, Lepidosauria, Squamata, Lacertidae. The record is from the annotation of a GenBank genome assembly.
GCCAUAGCUCGGUGGCAGAGCAUCUGUUUUGAGUACAGAAGGCCCCAGGUUCAAUCCCUGGAAUUCUUAGGUA